Molecule: long non-coding RNA, 5218 nt
Organism: Clupea harengus (Atlantic herring)
Lineage: Eukaryota; Metazoa; Chordata; Actinopteri; Clupeiformes; Clupeidae
Exons: 2
Source: RefSeq, a predicted model, not a curated record
GCCCUGUCACUGCACUUGAUGAGGGCUAGCUGACUAGAUAGCUAGCACAAGAUUUCACUCUCAUCAACAGCUAACAUCAGCUAAGCUAUUUAGCUAGCUAGCCAUCAAACACAAAACAAAAGCAACAUGCCAAACUGAAAAAUCUGCAUUUCCUAAUAACAAAUGGAAAAUGAGCAAUUAUAAGAAAAAUACAAAGUACAAAUAUAAUAAUACAAAUACAAAUAUAAUAAUUAUCUCUCAGAGAAGCUGUGCAUAUGGACUGUGGAAAAUACAUUGAUGGAAGUGUUCUGCCCAUUAAAUGUUAUUUUUCCUGUACAAAAUGCAUGCAGGACCCCCUCAUAGACUCAAUUUGCUUCAAGUGUGUUCAUAACCUAUUAGCCGAUUUAAUAUUUUCUGCUUUAAAGCCAAGUGUACCACGGUGUGCUGCAGGAUCCCCAUGGCCUGCAACUAGUAUAAUGGCCAUACCCUUGUCCGUCUUCCUGGCUCUUAGCAAUUAGGUGUAUGAGUAACACAAGCUCCAUAGGCUACCAGAAAUCAUUGUUUGCCUCAAGGGGCGUAGGCUGAAUGAGGAUGCUUAAUGAGUGACCUGUGAGAAUACAUUUCAACCAAAUCAAAUUAGAUAGCUAAACGAGCGCUGUAACUUAUUCCUUAAUUCAAGGUUUUAUUUGCAUUCUCAGUUCGAUUGACUACAGCAGCCUAGGUUCUAGGAAAUGAUAGUCUGACAUAAGGUGUUCUACCGUGCAAUUAUUUAUUAUAUAUUAAUUAUUUUGUAAGCCUAAAAAGAGCACAUUGUUAUAGUUAACUCCCUCCUUGUAUAGUGCAUGAGCUAGCUAGCCUCCCAUUGAAAUCAGUGGUCAACAAUACUGUACUGUAUACUAUACACAUGCACAAACAUCCAAAACAAGCAGAUCGCCUGCCAGCUUGACAUGCCCCACUGUUCGUCAGUGAGACCCGUAACGUCAUCGAAAGUCAAAUACACUCAUGCCAUUGGAUUAAAUAAGAUGCUUGGAAAGCUAGCCUGUCUUACAUUCCAGAGUCAUUAUUCCAGCCCAGUUUAACGACCACAAUAGGGCAGCAUUUUUGUGGACUCUGUGUCCUUUUGUCACCACUUGUUUGAAUGCGAAAAAAUGCCACAAAUUAACAUUUACCAUUUAUACCAGCAAAUAAUGUUCACGUGAUUACAUUUCUUUAUUAGAAUAAGCAAUUGAUUUAAACACUCAUAUUACAUAGUAAGGUUAACUUAACUUAAAAAAAUAACCGGUUUUGUCAAGUAGUGCAAGACAGUACCAGAAAUGUUGGGACAGUAUGGAAAAUGCCAAUAAAGAAAGUAGGGAUUUGUAAAUUGUAUUUAAACUUUAGUACUAUUGUUUAAAUACAUGCUACAAAUGACUAUUUUUACUUUUUUAUUUGUAUUCCAUUUACCACCCCAUUAAUCACUUUUGUUGACAUUAGAAAAGUUUAAGCUGUGGAAAAUCAACAAAUAGGCUAUAAGUUUGCUCUUAUUGAGUGGUUCUGGUCUUCAGAUGCAGACACAGUCAGCUGAUCCAUGGUUUUUGAUGUUGGAGUUGGCACUGGUGCCAUAAAGUGUUUUAUAUUGUAUAAUGCUUUGAAGCCUUCGGUUUUCCUCCUGCAAAUGUUGGCAGGCUAGAUAGUGGCACUGAAAAUAAGGAUAUAUUUCAGGAGGAACAUUGCACACCCACACAUUGUAAUGUAACUCCAUUUCGAGUUUCAAUGUAAUUUCUCUGCAGGAGCACACAGUACUUAAGACAAUUUCUUUUCUUUAGUGGACUUUACUUGUUCAACUGGUUGAUCUUUGUCUGGGGGGGCUUUGAUAGAGGUUGAUGGGAAACUGUGUGAGGGUGUUUCUUGAUGACUUGAAGAUGUUGAAAAUGAAUGGUUACAUCAUGACUUGAUGACAAGAAGAUGUUGAAAGUGAAGGGUUACAUCAUGACAAGCAUGCUGAAUCCAUGCUUACUAUGGGGAACACUGAGCUGUCUACAACACAAUAAGAAAAGAAAAUAUGUUGGCACUUUGUUAGAUAACUACCUUGUUCCCUCAGCAUGUUAAGUCUUGUUGACUUCCUCCUCUUUUUUUUUUCCUCUUGGUAUACUUUCAUGGGUUGACUUGGCUCCUGUGUAUACAAAUGAAAUGUGAUUACCCAGGGGUGCCCAAACUUUUCGACAGACUACAACUGUAAGUCUAAACGACAUUCUCAUACCUUAUCAAAAUAGAGCCAGACAGUUUUCCUUUUUCUUCUCUUCCCCUUUCCCUGGCACUCUGCUUGCAACAACGGCUCCCUUCAGGUAAUAAGCCAUCUUGCUCACCAGCUCUAGUCUAGUCUCUGAAAAUAGUAUCAAGCAUAUUUGUAACAACAUGUAGUUACCCCUAUGCCUGACAAUUAGCGUCCCAGGCUUGUGCAAGUGUCUAUGCUAGGACUAAUGUUAGGCACUGAUAGAUACAUAUUGUUGGAUAACUAAAUAGAUAUGGGAUAGCUUAGGACCUUCAAUUAAAACCCAGUUGUCAUUAUUCAUUUUAAUAAACAUAAAUGAAUAGAAUGAAAUCAAAAGGUUAACAACCACUCACUGACAAUAUCCAGGACACCCUUUCGGCCCGUUUACUUUAUACAGCUCUCCAAAGGGUCUUCCAAAUCAAUCUCCCCUUCCACCAAAGGCAUCUCGCCAAUUUUGACAGUCCCCUCAUUUGGAAAAUCAAAAAAGGUGAAUUUGUUUGUUGUCACUGACAACCUACCAACAACAGUCUAACAACAAAUGUUCCACCUGACAACAGGGUAUGUAAGUGUUACAUAAAUUUGGACACUAACUGAAAUGGCUUGCCCUUUAUAGAAGCUCAUCCUUAGUUGUCUACACAGCAGUAUGCCUAUGUCACAAAUGUUUCUGUCCCUUUACCCAAAAGCACAAAGUGGUACAGGAAAUGUACCCAUUUCAGCACCACCACAGUGGGACAGCAACCAGACAGUUUGGCUGAAGAGAUGGACCCUACAUGUGAAGCUGAACUCGACUGGAGUGAGGAGCCUGACCUCCCAGUGUGUGUGCACAUAACACCUAAACUAAAUGAGUUGAAAGUACAAGAAUAGCAUACAAAUAUAUAGUUCACUUGCUUUGUCUGGUGCAUGGCUGCACCAUCAAAUUCCAUUAACUCUUAUGAAUCUCAAUCUGAUUAUACAGCCUGACUGCACCUGAAACUGACCUCAUGAAUGAUGAAACAACUUUUGAAGUAUGUAUGACCUAAACCAAGAGUUCAUUUUGCACCAUAACCAUUUGAACCAGGGGUACUGCAGAAAAGCUUUGGGAACCACUAAUGUAGUGAAUUCAAUUAAGUUCAUUUUUGGCGCAAUUGCACUAUCAAGUUACGUCCAUGCAUGUAGCGCCUCUUCAUUGGUGCAAGGAUACUAUUAACACUCAUUUCAAUCGAACUUCACAGCCAGACUCCAACGCACCCAACACUGAAUAUGAUGCACCUGAAAGAGAAUAUGACCAGAUAAAUGAUGAGGCAAGUUUCCAAGCGUGUAUAACUUUAUUAUUACUGUAGCUUGUGCAGUAACAUUACCACUGAGUGAAAAGAGGUGUAUCCGUGACUCCUGCUCUCCUGUGUACUCUCAGGGAGUUUGCGGUCCUGUUACAGAAUUCCAGAUCCUCCUGGAUAUCUCCCAGGUUUGCGGUCCUGUUACACAGUUACAGAAUCCCAGAUCCUCCUGGAUAUCUCCCAGGUUUGCGAGGCCUGCCUGGAGCCAAUAGUUGCCCUGGUCAUAAUCACCUGGGGGUGCUUGCAAGGGAAUAAAAGUCUUACCUGGGAAUGGUGGCACAAUGUCUUGCCCCUCCUCUAAACCCCCUCCCUGAUCACUCGAUCACUCCCUUGAGCAUUCUCAAGAAGGACCCAGUUCCUCACGCUGUGGUCUCCAUUGCAAAUCUGUCCACAUUAACACAUGGAUGGUGAUUCACAAGGUACUUCUGGUCUGCAUCCAGUAUUUUCUGUAGCUCCCCACACAGUGUAGAGUAGACGAUUCUGUACUAUGGACUGGAGGCCAGACGACCCACACUGGCCUUCAAUCCAAGAUGGAGUCCUCCUCAUUCAAUUCAACUUUAUUUCGCCAUGUAUACAGAUACUAGGAAUUUGUUUUGGUAUUCUCCAUGCAGGCUAUAGUAUCACCAAAUUAUCUCCUGCACGAGAUCUCCACGGCCGCUACACAAGCGCCAUCGGACGCCAUUCAACAUAAGAUCUGUUGUUGCUGUUCUCCAACCGUGUAUUUCUUCCACAUGCAAUAGGGCAGUGAUUUCAAUUCCAAUUCCAAUUCCUAGCUCACAGACACCACAGGCAAUAAUUGUGUCAGCCCUAUUGGAGAAGAUUAGAGCAAUUAGGGUAGACUGAGAGCAAUCUUUGAAAUUUGGCCUGGUGGGUUCAGUUAUCAGCUGGGAUAAACUGAGACCACCACCAACCUCCUUGAAAUAAUCAGUUAAGAUUAAAGUCAGCCAUAACAAUCAACUCAACUUUGGAGUACUGAAAGCAGCUCUGCUAUAGCAUAGCAAGUCAGCAAAUGGGGGUCUAUAAAUCCCUACCACAAUUAUUGAGAUAAAUUAACCUUCAGUGCAAGAAAUUCAAAUCAUCUUGGUAUGAUGAUAGUAUUUUAAAUUGUUGCAGAAAAAGACUCUUGACGUGAUCACAUCACUCCUGUUUUAGCUUCUCUACACUGGCUGCCAGUUUGUUUUAGAAUAGAUUUUAAGAUUGUAUUGAUUACUUUUAAGUCUCUUAGUACCAUACACAUCGGUACGUACUUUGAGAUCCUUAGGCAGAGGUCUUCUGUCUGUUCCAUGGUACUGGCUGAAAACUAAAGGAGGCAGAGCAUUUGCAGUUAGGGCCCCGAGGUUCUGGAACGAUCUGCCAGAGAAAAUUAGGUUGGCCGACUCAGUGACUUCCUUUAAGAUUCUUCUGAAAAUUAUAGGAUAGAAAUUUCCUGAUUUUUCAUGCAUUUUAAUUUCCUUCUUUCCUAAUUGUCUUCCUUAAAAACUUAUAAAAUUGGUUUCCUUUUUUACUCUGUAUGGAUGUACCACUGUAUUGGUUUUUAUUUACCUUAUUGUUUUCAUCUGAUUUCUUUUAAAACCUGAUGAUUUUAUGAUUGUCAGUUUUAUUCUGCUGCCACUGUGAAGCACUUUGUAACAUGGAUUUUUAGAAAGUGCUCUAUGAAUAAAGAUCAUUAUUAUUA